Molecule: ribosomal RNA, 129 nt
Filed under: Stenotrophomonas maltophilia group sp. RNC7
Lineage: Bacteria; Pseudomonadati; Pseudomonadota; Gammaproteobacteria; Lysobacterales; Lysobacteraceae
Description: partial 23S ribosomal RNA
Rfam family: Bacterial large subunit ribosomal RNA
Source: RNAcentral
AAGCCCCCCUCAAGAUGAGAUUUCCCACAUUGGUAAGACCCCUUGAAGACGACGAGGUAGAUAGGUUGGAGGUGGAAGUGCAGCAAUGCAUGGAGCUGACCAAUACUAAUCGGUCGAGGGCUUAUCCUA